Molecule: transfer RNA, 74 nt
Filed under: Pseudolactococcus reticulitermitis
Lineage: Bacteria; Bacillati; Bacillota; Bacilli; Lactobacillales; Streptococcaceae
Description: Lactococcus reticulitermitis tRNA-Val
Rfam family: tRNA
About the family: Transfer RNA (tRNA) molecules are approximately 80 nucleotides in length. Their secondary structure includes four short double-helical elements and three loops (D, anti-codon, and T loops). Further hydrogen bonds mediate the characteristic L-shaped molecular structure. tRNAs have two regions of fundamental functional importance: the anti-codon, which is responsible for specific mRNA codon recognition, and the 3' end, to which the tRNAs corresponding amino acid is attached (by aminoacyl-tRNA synthetases). tRNAs cope with the degeneracy of the genetic code in two manners: having more than one tRNA (with a specific anti-codon) for a particular amino acid; and 'wobble' base-pairing, i.e. permitting non-standard base-pairing at the 3rd anti-codon position.
Source: RNAcentral
GGGAGUUUAGCUCAGCUGGGAGAGCAUCUGCCUUACAAGCAGAGGGUCGGGGGUUCGAACCCCUCAACUCCCAU